CUACGGGUGGCUGCAGUGAGGAAUAUUGCACAAUGGGGGGAACCCUGAUGCAGCAACGCCGCGUGGAGGAUGACGCAUUUCGGUGUGUAAACUCCUUUUAUAUGUCAAGAAAAUGACGGUAGCAUAUGAAUAAGCACCGGCUAACUCCGUGCCAGCAGCCGCGGUAAUACGGAGGGUGCAAGCGUUACUCGGAAUCACUGGGCGUAAAGGACGCGCAGGCGGGUUGGAAAGUCAGGUGUGAAAUCCUACAGCUUAACUGUAGAACUGCACUUGAAACUUCUAAUCUAGAGUAUGGGAGGGGGAGAUGGAAUUAGUGGUGUAGGGGUAAAAUCCGUAGAUAUCACUAGGAAUACCUAAAGCGAAGGCGAUCUCCUGGAACAUUACUGACGCUAAGGCGUGAAAGCGUGGGGAGCAAACAGGAUUAGAUACCUCAGUAGUC
Molecule: ribosomal RNA, 439 nt
Filed under: uncultured bacterium
Lineage: Bacteria
Description: partial 16S ribosomal RNA
Rfam family: Bacterial small subunit ribosomal RNA
Source: RNAcentral